RNAcentral lists this ribosomal RNA (34 nucleotides) under Callistachys lanceolata. RNAcentral also lists the same sequence under 4 other names. Lineage: Eukaryota; Viridiplantae; Streptophyta; Magnoliopsida; Fabales; Fabaceae. The record is from RNAcentral.
GGUGCGAUCAUACCAGCACUAAUGCACCGGAUCC